This 148-nucleotide non-coding RNA is filed under the name Homo sapiens (human). Lineage: Eukaryota; Metazoa; Chordata; Mammalia; Primates; Hominidae. The record is from Rfam by way of RNAcentral.
GCCGGGUGUGGUGGUGCAUGCCUGUAAUCCCAGCUACUUGGGAGGCUGAGGCAGGAGAAUCACUUGAGCUUGGGAGGCGGAGCUUGCAGUGAGCCGAGAUCACGCCACUGCACUCCAGCCUGGGCGACAAAGCGAGACUCUGUCUCAA